This 500-nucleotide ribosomal RNA is filed under the name uncultured bacterium. RNAcentral describes it as "partial 16S ribosomal RNA". It matches the Rfam family "Bacterial small subunit ribosomal RNA", at positions 30 to 523 of the family's 1533-position model. The record is from RNAcentral.
AUUGAACGCUGGCGGAAUGCUUUACACAUGCAAGUCGAACGGCAGCACGGGGGCAACCCUGGUGGCGAGUGGCGAACGGGUGAGUAAUACAUCGGAACGUGCCCAGCCGUGGGGGAUAACGUAGCGAAAGUUACGCUAAUACCGCAUACGAUCUACGGAUGAAAGCGGGGGACCGUAAGGCCUCGCGCGAUUGGAGCGGCCGAUGUCAGAUUAGGUAGUUGGUGAGGUAAAGGCUCACCAAGCCGACGAUCUGGAGCUGGUCUGAGAGGACGACCAUCCGCACUGGGACUAAGACGCGGCCCAGACUCCUACGGGAGGAAGCAGUGGGGAAUUUUGGACAAUGGGCGCAAGCCUGAUCCAGCCAUUCCGCGUGCAGGACGAAGGCCUUCGGGUUGUAAACUGCUUUUGUACGGAACGAAAAGGCUCUGGUUAAUACCUGGGGCUCAUGACGGUACCGUAAGAAUAAGCACCGGCUAACUACGUGCCAGCCGCCGCGGUAA